RNAcentral lists this microRNA precursor (143 nucleotides) under Gossypium arboreum. RNAcentral describes it as "MIR7502 microRNA precursor family". It matches the Rfam family "MIR7502 microRNA precursor family". The record is from Rfam by way of RNAcentral. Lineage: Eukaryota; Viridiplantae; Streptophyta; Magnoliopsida; Malvales; Malvaceae.
UAUUAAAAAUUGUAUCUUUUUUACUGUUAAAAAUAGACGUAACUAAUAGAAUAACAAGAUAAUGAUAUUUGGCAUGCCACAUAUACUUUAUCUUGAUGUAUAUAAAUUAAAUUUUAAAAGUAAAAAUAGAUAAAUUUUUAACA